AACGAACGCUGGCGGCAGGCCUAACACAUGCAAGUCGAGCGCGCCCUUCGGGGUGAGCGGCGGACGGGUGAGUAACGCGUGGGAACGUGCCCUUUUCUACGGAAUAGCCUCGGGAAACUGAGAGUAAUACCGUAUACGCCCUUUGGGGGAAAGAUUUAUCGGAAAAGGAUCGGCCCGCGUUGGAUUAGGUAGUUUGUGGGGUAAUGGCCUACCAAGCCGACGAUCCAUAGCUGGUUUGAGAGGAUGAUCAGCCACACUGGGACUGAGACACGGCCCAGACUCCUACGGGAGGCAGCAGUGGGGAAUCUUAGACAAUGGGGGCAACCCUGAUCUAGCCAUGCCGCGUGAGUGAUGAAGGCCUUAGGGUUGUAAAGCUCUUUCAGCUGGGAAGAUAAUGACGGUACCAGCAGAAGAAGCCCCGGCUAACUCCGUG
Molecule: ribosomal RNA, 433 nt
Filed under: uncultured bacterium
Lineage: Bacteria
Description: partial 16S ribosomal RNA
Rfam family: Bacterial small subunit ribosomal RNA
Source: RNAcentral